Molecule: long non-coding RNA, 2038 nt
Organism: Sphaeramia orbicularis (orbiculate cardinalfish)
Lineage: Eukaryota; Metazoa; Chordata; Actinopteri; Kurtiformes; Apogonidae
Exons: 2
Source: RefSeq, a predicted model, not a curated record
AAAUACUGCAUCCUCCUCCUCCUCAUCACCAUCAUCAUCAUCAUCACCGCUGCUCCAGUCUCCACCGCUAUGAUACUGUAUCUAAUCUCACCAGCUCUAAUAAUCUGUGUUAGUAUGUUAGUUAACGGUCAAACCGAGGACUCCAGACUCACCGACAGAGCUUAUGUGGUCUUAAAGAACCAGAACCUGGUCACACUGGGGAGUGUCUUCGGUGUCCUCCUGCUGCUCAUGAUCAUCAUGGCUGUCUGUGUCUACAAACCACUGACUCGGCGCUGAAAGUCUCCAAAAACCUGGAGAUCAGACCCACACAAAGAGCUGCUGUCCACCCGAUCAAGUGACAGCCCCGGGCCCGACACUGACCCCUGCUGGGACCAGACCUGCAGAACCCCGACCUCUUAGAAGACACUGAAAACACCCACAAUGCACUGGCCGAUUUAUCAUUUAUUGUGAUUAUUUACACUACAGGCCAAAAAUGUGUAAGUUCACAAUAUGUAUCUUAAAAAACAGUAUGAAUGUGAUGGAUUUUGAGAUGUAGUUACUGUAUGAUCAGACUUUAGUUUCAUUGAUAUGCACGAUUCUCCUCAAUUUACCUUCAGAAAUGUCAACAGGCCAUUGCUGAGUAAAGGUUAACAAAAGAAAAGAAGGUAGUUACAACUUGUUCUUUGGCUUUUGAGAGUUUGCAUCCAAAAAUCCCAAUCAAUCUCAACUGUGUCUAUAUCUCUGAAAACUACCACAGAAAUGACAAGAAAGAAACAGCUGAGUAAAGAAACAAAAGUGCAGAUUUUUACAUUGAAGAAAGAAGGAUACAUGGAAAGAGCCUAAUGGUAUCCAACAAAGGAGUUCACCACAGACUGAAGACACUAGAAGAAACGGGAAGUUAUGAUGAUUAGGAAAAGUCUGGAAGAAAGAGAGUGAUAACAAAAGAAGAGGACAAACAUCUAAGAGACAUGCUGAAAAACAGCACUACAAAUAAGGGAGGGAAUUAACAUGACAAGAUCAGCUGUGAAAAGAUGUGACAAAGGCUGGUGUGAAGGGUUGUGUAUCAGGAAAAAAACAACAAUACUACAACGAAAAGAACAAGAAAAAGAGAUGACUGGACAAAGGCACAAAAAAAUUGAACCUAUGAUGACUGGAAACAAGUUCUGUGGAGUCUGUCUGCAGAUAAACUGGUGCACGUCUGAAAGCUGCAUUCGUAAAACUCCCACAGUAAAGUAAUAAUGAAGGAACAGGAUCAUCCAGCAUCAUGCAGUUUCAUCUGGGCAAACACUUAUGGGUUAAAAGUUGGUUUUGCAGCAAGAUAAUGACUCUAAACAUUUUUCCAAGCUCUGUCAUGGUUACCAAGACAAAACAAAAAGAAGAUAAAGAAGCUGUUCAAAAGAUGGUUUGAUUCCGUUGGUCUCCAGACUUCUCUCCAGUUGAGCUUGUGUGGUACGAAUAGGAUUGAUCCGUCAGAAAAGUGCAUCCCAUGAAUGAGCAGUGUCUCACUGAUUAAUUAAACAAACUGUGUAAAGCCUUACAUAUGUCAUACUUUUGUUAAAGCCAGAAGAGGCUACUUUAUAAAACACAGUCAAACAAUUACAAUAAUUCUUGCCAAAAUGUAUUAAGAUGAGUGACUGUUAAUAAUAAUAAUCUUGUUCAUGUUGUUGCAAAGUAUACCAAUGAAACUAUUGAUUUUUUUUUUGUUCAAAUUUGAUCUUAUUCCAAACUUUUGGCCUGUAGUGUAUAAGAUUUUCUAGUUUUUUUUGUGUCAGCCUUUUAUGCCUACAUUUUCUGUUGUUAUUGGUAUUCAGAAACAAAAACAAUCACUUUAUGACCUUUAAUGCUGGAUUAAUGAAUACAGAUAAUUAAGUGAUCAUUGUUUUUAUUUACAUGAUAUACCAGGGUUUAAUGCCACAUCAGAUUAUAUUUUUAUUAAUUCAAUUGUAAUUUGAAGGAAAUGCUGCAUUUGUUAAUUUAAAAGCCAUACUGACUGUAUUAUGAGAUGUUUUAAAGUGAAUUUUCAAUAAACCUUCAAACCCUGUGAGGGUUAAAAUGGUAA